GACGAACGCUGGCGGCGUGCUUAACACAUGCAAGUCGAACGGAAAGGCCAUGCUCUUGUGGGGUGCUCGAGUGGCGAACGGGUGAGUAACACGUGAGUAUCAUCCACUUGACUGUGGGAUAACUUCAGGAAACUGGGGCUAGUAUCGGAUAGGAGAUCCUGCUGCAUGGUGGGGGUUGGAAAGUUUCGGCGGUUGGGGCUGGACUAGCGGCUUAUCCGCUUGUUGGUGGGGUAGUGGCUGACCAAGGCUUUGACGGAUAGCCGGCCUGAGAGGGUGACCGGGCACAUUGGGACUGAGAUACGGCCCAGACUCCUACGGUAGGCAGCAGGGGGGAAUAUUGCGCAAUGGGCGGAAGCCAGAUGCAGCAACGCCGCGUGCGUAAUGACGGCCUUCGGGGUGUAAACCGCUUUCGCCGGUGACGAGGCGUGAGUGACGGUAAUGAGUAAAGAAGCACCGGCUAACUACGUG
This 468-nucleotide ribosomal RNA is filed under the name uncultured bacterium. Its description in RNAcentral is "partial 16S ribosomal RNA". It matches the Rfam family "Bacterial small subunit ribosomal RNA", at positions 28 to 507 of the family's 1533-position model. The record is from RNAcentral.